This 23-nucleotide microRNA is filed under the name Ixodes scapularis (black-legged tick). Its description in RNAcentral is "Isc-Mir-29-P1_5p* (star (passenger))". Lineage: Eukaryota; Metazoa; Arthropoda; Arachnida; Ixodida; Ixodidae. The record is from RNAcentral.
ACUGAGUUCGUUUGGUGGGUAGA